This 404-nucleotide ribosomal RNA is filed under the name uncultured bacterium. Its description in RNAcentral is "bacterial SSU rRNA". It matches the Rfam family "Bacterial small subunit ribosomal RNA", at positions 976 to 1380 of the family's 1533-position model. The record is from RNAcentral.
CGGGCUUGAAAUGUGACCGACGACCCCGAGAGACCGGGGUUUCCUUCGGGCGGUCAUGUAGGUGCUGCAUGGUUGUCGUCAGCUCGUGCCGUGAGGUGUCGGCUUAAGUGCCAUAACGAGCGCAACCCCUUCCGCCGGUUACCAUCGGGUCAUGCCGGGGACUCCGGCGGCACUGCCGCCGCAAGGCGCGAGGAAGGCGGGGAUGACGUCAAAUCAGCACGGCCCUUACGUCCGGGGCCACACACGUGUUACAAUGGGGGGCACAGCGAGCUGGGGGAUGGCGACAUUCCCCGAAUCACGAAAUCCCCUCCCAGUUCGGACCGGAGUCUGCAACCCGACUCCGCGAAGCCGGAUUCGCUAGUAAUCGCGCAUCAGCCAUGGCGCGGUGAAUACGUUCCCGGGCC